AGCCCUGACAGCCGUCCUCCGUCCUCCUCUGGGUACCAACUCUCUUACGCUGCGCACUGCCGUGCGUUUAACCCAGGCGAGGAGGAGGAGGAGAAAAUUCCCCCAGAUCCGGGCAGGAUGAAGCUUUAACUGAACUGAAGGAAAGAGAAACAGCCCUGAGUCUUUGGAGGUCUGUCUGAAUUUGGGGCCCUGCACAAGUACAAGCCUGGUGGAAAAAAGUAAACUCCUCCUGCUUCCAGCAAGUUGGUCCUUCUCAACUUGCAUCCUGGGUAAAACCCGUGAGACUGAGUGGAAGUGCCUUGCCCAGACGUGCACACAUCCCAUUUAGGCAAGCCAGCUCCACGCACUGGAUCAG
This 355-nucleotide long non-coding RNA is filed under the name Lynx canadensis (Canada lynx). Its description in RNAcentral is "lncRNA (ENSLCNG00005018727.1)". The record is from RNAcentral. Lineage: Eukaryota; Metazoa; Chordata; Mammalia; Carnivora; Felidae.